CCAGACUCCUACGGGAGGCAGCAGUGGGGGAUAUUGCACAAUGGGGGAAACCCUGAUGCAGCGACGCCGCGUGAGUGAAGAAGUAUUUCGGUAUGUAAAGCUCUAUCAGCAGGGAAGAAAAUGACAGUACCUGACCAAGAAGCCCCGGCUAACUACGUGCCAGCAGCCGCGGUAAUACGUAGGGGGCAAGCGUUAUCCGGAUUUACUGGGUGUAAAGGGAGCGUAGACGGUUAUGUAAGUCUGGAGUGAAAGCCCGGGGCCCAACCCCGGGACUGCUUUGGAAACUGUGUAACUGGAGUACAGGAGGGGCAGGCGGAAUUCCUGGUGUAGCGGUGAAAUGCGUAGAUAUCAGGAGGAACACCGGUGGCGAAGGCGACUUUCUGGACUGUACCUGACGCUGAGGCGCGAAAGCGUGGGUAGCGAACGGGAUUAGAUACCCCUGUAA
This 445-nucleotide ribosomal RNA is filed under the name uncultured bacterium. RNAcentral describes it as "bacterial SSU rRNA". It matches the Rfam family "Bacterial small subunit ribosomal RNA", at positions 331 to 793 of the family's 1533-position model. The record is from RNAcentral.